ACUGGGUGCAGUGGCGCACACCUGUAAUCCCAGCUACUCAGGAGGAUGAGGCAGGAGGAUGGCAAGUUUGAGGCCAGCCUUGUCAACUGAGCAAGACCCUGUCUCUA
RNAcentral lists this small RNA (107 nucleotides) under Marmota monax (woodchuck). The record is from RNAcentral. Lineage: Eukaryota; Metazoa; Chordata; Mammalia; Rodentia; Sciuridae.